Molecule: long non-coding RNA, 532 nt
Filed under: Homo sapiens (human)
Lineage: Eukaryota; Metazoa; Chordata; Mammalia; Primates; Hominidae
Description: non-protein coding lnc-GPR149-10:1
Source: RNAcentral
AUGUAAUCACUCAGAAGGUUGUACAGUGAUUGUGAAGGGCUGCAGAAGGGGUCUGCAGAGGGACCUCAACUACACCAAUGUAGAGCUCAGCCUCCUUAAGAAGAGAAAUAAGAGGCUCUCGGCUGAUAAAUGAUGGAGAAGUAGAAAGGAGCUGGCUACCAUUUGCACUAUCUGUAGUCAUGUAUGGAACGUGACAAAGGGUGUUACACUGGGCUUUUGUUAAAAAAUGAGGUUUGUGUGUGCUCACUUCCCCAUCAAGGUUGUUAUUCAGGAAAGUGGUCUCUUGAUGAAAUCUGAAAUUUCUUGGGUAAAAAAAUAUAUCUGCUUGUUUCAACUGAGGCCAGGCAUUGCUUGUUCAAUAUCUCAAGCCCAGAAAGGUGAAUUAAUUCCCGAAGAAAAUGACAAGAAUUUGUAUCAAUUUCAGCUGCUUGGAUUCAGCAAACCAUAACAGUUAAAAGCAAGGAUAUCAGAAAAUUUUUGUAUGGUGUUAAUGUAUCUGAAAAAAAGAACAGUUCAGCAUACUGAUGAGUAA